CCUACGGGCGACAGCAGUGAGGAAUAUUGGUCAAUGGACGAGAGUCUGAACCAGCCAAGUAGCGUGAAGGAUGACUGUCCUAUGGGUUGUAAACUUCUUUUAUAUGGGAAUAAAAUGUUCCACGUGUGGGCUUUUGUAUGUACCAUAUGAAUAAGGAUCGGCUAACUCCGUGCCAGCAGCCGCGGUAAUACGGAGGAUACGAGCGUUAUCCGGAUUUAUUGGGUUUAAAGGGAGCGUAGGUGGAUUGUUAAGUCAGUUGUGAAAGUUUGCGGCUCAACCGUAAAAUUGCAGUUGAAACUGGCAGUCUUGAGUACAGUAGAGGUGGGCGGAAUGCGUGGUGGAGCGGUGAAAUGCUUAGAUAUCACGCAGAACUCCGAUUGCGAAGGCAGCUCACUGGACUGCAACUGACACUGAGGCUCGAAAGUGUGGGUAUCAAACAGGAUUAGAUACCCGAGUAGUC
Molecule: ribosomal RNA, 460 nt
Filed under: uncultured bacterium
Lineage: Bacteria
Description: partial 16S ribosomal RNA
Rfam family: Bacterial small subunit ribosomal RNA
Source: RNAcentral